RNAcentral lists this ribosomal RNA (495 nucleotides) under uncultured bacterium. RNAcentral describes it as "partial 16S ribosomal RNA". It matches the Rfam family "Bacterial small subunit ribosomal RNA", at positions 28 to 507 of the family's 1533-position model. The record is from RNAcentral.
GACGAACGCUGGCGGCGUGCCUAAUACAUGCAAGUAGAACGCUGAAGGAGGAGCUUGCUUCUCUGGAUGAGUUGCGAACGGGUGAGUAACGCGUAGGUAACCUGCCUGGUAGCGGGGGAUAACUAUUGGAAACGAUAGCUAAUACCGCAUAAGAGUAGAUGUUGCAUGACAUUUGCUUAAAAGGUGCAAUUGCAUCACUACCAGAUGGACCUGCGUUGUAUUAGCUAGUUGGUGGGGUAACGGCUCACCAAGGCGACGAUACAUAGCCGACCUGAGAGGGGGAGCGGCCACACUGGGACUGAGACCCGGCACAGACUCCUACGGAAGGCAGCAGUAGGGAAUCUUCGGCCAUGGACGGAAGUCUGACCGAGAUACGCCGCGUGAGUGAAGAAGGUUUUCGGAUCGUAGAGCUCUGUUGUAAGAGAAGAACGAGUGUGAGAGUGGAAAGUUCACACUGUGACGGUAUCUUACCAGAAAGGGACGGCUAACUACGUG